AUGGGAUCCCAUAACCCACGCAGCGAAAGGACUUGAGAGCCGCUGUCCUGCACACUCCAUGGUUGACACAAAGGAUUUUUCUUUUCUUAAGAAAGUGAGACAAGUGGUGACAGAGAUGGAGAUGAAGAGGUAGGAGCUGAAAGGCAAUAGUUAUUGGCAUCAGAGAAGAGAAUAGACAAACCUCAGGACAGUCAUUAAUGAAAGUGUAUCAUGUGUUAUUGAUAACUUUUGAGGGGGAGGAGUGCAUGCCCUUUUCAGAUACCUUCUGCUGGAACUCAAGAAACUACCAAGUCUCAGAACGCCUCCUGUCAGUCUUUAGAUGUGUGAUGAGAAGGAGUGCAUGCUUUGAUCCGAAGAAGCAGGAUCUGUAUUUACUUGGGAGAAACUCACACAUCGGUGGUAUUGGGUAGACCUGGUCCCUGAAAUGCUUCCUGAGUGCCUACUCUGUAGCAGAUCUUGAGCUGGAUGGCUGAGAAAUAGAAAGAUGAAUUUG
Equus caballus (horse) is the source of this 493-nucleotide non-coding RNA. The record is from RefSeq and is a predicted model, not a curated record. NCBI's taxonomy places the organism in Eukaryota, Metazoa, Chordata, Mammalia, Perissodactyla, Equidae.